CAGGCAGAAGCCUCCUGUGAACCAUUACUGAUGGUCAUAUGGACGAGGGGACUUCUCUAUUUCAGUUUUUUUUUAAGUAACGGUCUUAAAUAAGAUUUAGUUACAGAUAAUAGAAUACAAGAGGUUCUACUAAGUGGGGCAGUUGUGGUUGUGCCAAACAAAAUGGAAAUUAAGAUAACAGAAAUAGAAAGAAUUAGAACGAAACUAAUUGGCUUCCCUUCUCUAAGAACGUCCAUCAAAAUACAGAGGGAGCACCAACCACUAACCUGGAGUCCCUACGUGAUGCACACGUGUACAAGCAGGGCCCUCAGGUGAUUGGCGGCUCUCUUCAGGAACUCAGGUGCAGGCAGAUCGGCACCUGAAGGGAAAAACAAGGGAGGAGGGGCAACACAGACAGUAGUGACACGGACGUUAGUUUUCUCUUCCAGUCAUUCGGGGUCAGGAUGGCUGCAGAGUUACUUACGGUUCCUCUUGGAUCUUCUGGAUUAAACGGAUCCACCUUGGAGAUGCACUACAGAUACACCCCCCCCCAGAACCAAUGAGGGGUCACAGCAGACCAGAGGGCCUUCUGCUUUACCGACAGGGAG
This is a long non-coding RNA of Gasterosteus aculeatus aculeatus (three-spined stickleback), 587 nucleotides long. The record is from Ensembl. NCBI's taxonomy places the organism in Eukaryota, Metazoa, Chordata, Actinopteri, Perciformes, Gasterosteidae.